This 393-nucleotide ribosomal RNA is filed under the name uncultured bacterium. Its description in RNAcentral is "partial 16S ribosomal RNA". It matches the Rfam family "Bacterial small subunit ribosomal RNA", at positions 523 to 918 of the family's 1533-position model. The record is from RNAcentral.
AUACGGAGGACGCGAGCGUUAUCCGGAUUCAUUGGGUUUAAAGGGUGCGCAGGCGGCCGUGCAAGUCAGCGGUGAAAGCCCGGGGCUCAACCCCGGAAGUGCCGUUGAUACUGCGUGGCUGGAAUGCGGUCGAGGCGGGCGGGACGUGGCGGGUAGCGGGGAAAUGCGUAGAUAUGCCACAGAACGCCGAUAGCGGAGGCAGCUCGCCAGGCCUGCAGUGACGCUCGGGCACGAAAGCGUGGGGAUCGAACAGGAUUAGAUACCCUGGUAGUCCACGCCGUAAACGAUGGGCGCUCGUCGUCGGCGACAGACAGUCGGCGGCCAAGCGAAAGCGAUAAGCGCCCCACCUGGGGAGUACGGUCGCAAGGCUGAAACUCAAAUGAAUUGACGGGG